Oncorhynchus gorbuscha (pink salmon) is the source of this 2049-nucleotide long non-coding RNA. RefSeq lists it as uncharacterized. The record is from RefSeq and is a predicted model, not a curated record. Lineage: Eukaryota; Metazoa; Chordata; Actinopteri; Salmoniformes; Salmonidae. The transcript is spliced from 5 exons.
GGUAGAUUUACUUUUACUCAAGUAGGACAAUUGGUUACUUUUUCCACCUCUGGACUAAUUCCCAGCACAAAGAUUACGAGACCAAGCUACUACUACAUGAGUUGCUGGGGAAACGUCAAAUACCCGCCCCGGGGAGGUUCCGUUCCGUUCACAUUCACAGCCACCACUGCGCCUAAAGAUCAGUGGCAUUGACAUUUUGUAGUAACUGAGGAAAAACAAUAACUUGUCAUACGAAAAGAUGGCAGACCCAGCAACAGACAAAGUGCUUAUAACAGAGACGGCUGAACUGUCUUCACGUUCUGUGCCAUCCUACUUUGACCCCUAUGAGCGCUCUGUAAAAUACAUGGAAAGUCAUCAAAUUCUUCAGAUCUUUCAGGAGAUUGCUGAGAACCUGGUUUUUGACAGGCCAGACGAUCCUCUUCAGUUCAUGUUAGAACAGGUACAAUUGAAGAUUCGAAACAGAGAAGAAUCCAACUGCAAACCAGAGAAAGUAGAGUAGACUAGCAGCCUGUUCUACCAUGCACUGCAGAAGACACCUGCAUCAUUCAAUCAUGAUUAAACCGGAAUUCAUUGUUCACAGUGUCGUCUGUAUAUCUCCGGAGGGACUCCAAAUCACCAGCGAGCAUAGGCCAUUCACAGGAAUACACAUUGGCUAUGUUACACUAUGAACUGCCUCAGCAAUCUAUAGACCAAGUCUUAGUAAAAUGGCAAUGAUUGUGAAGUAGGCUAGCUAUCUCAUAGUCCAAAUGACAAUUUAGCAAGACCAGACAUACAAACGACCUUGUGAUACAAUUUUGAUAUCUCAAAUGCAGAAUAACUUCAUUGCAACAGAAGUAUACAAAACAAAUAUUAUUUUUGAUUUAGUAUCCCAGGCAGACUGUUCAAUGCUCAGCCAGUCACCAAAUAGGCUAUUCAGAUGAGCCACUAUAAUGAAGCAAUCUGUGUUUAGAUGUUUUCAAGACAUUAAGUCAAAGUUUCAUAAAUUGUAUGUUAGAGUUCAUUAAAAAGCAUUAACAACAUGAAUCAAAACAAAAUUAUUGAUUCUCUUUUAAUCUUUUGAGAAUUAUUAUUUUUUCUCUAUCUCUAUAAUGUAUUGCUAUCAUCUGGGCACCUAGCCUUUCCCUCCCUCCCUUUCUAGCCUAUUUAAUCUCAGAAAAUAACCUAUAUGCUUAAUAUUAUAAUUUUUCCCACUUUCUUCCUCCACUUUUUCAUUUUAGAAAAACGUACUGUACUCUGCCUGUGAAGGAAUGGCCACUACAGGCCCUUGUGCUAUCUGUCUGCCACAGCAACACAUCGACCUUGAAACUCCUGAUGCGUUUCAUUUCAUUUGAAUAAGCCCCUGUGGCACCACAGCGUUGUAAAUAAUGAGACUCUGGGGAAACAAUAAUUCUUCAGAAUUUAAAUUCAAAGUAAUUCUUCAGAAUUUGAAUUCUAUCUUCUUUAAGCCCAUCACUGAUAAUAGAUAGGACCGUGGUAACUAGGUCUGUUAGCCAUCAUAGCAAGAGGACUGAAGAAAGUGCCAUGUUAUGUCACCAUGGAGACAGACCUAUACCAUGUGGAGUUCACAUAGUAAUAGAUCAAGCGAAGCACGCUAUCUGAUCUAUGUUUUUCAUGUUUCAAGAUGAUUCUCCAAUCAUUGUAAAGACCGCAAGCCAUGGCAGAUGGAGAAAACAGAAGAACAUAAUGCUAUGGUUAUAACGAGUGAUCAUCCAGUUAUGACAUAACGUAUGCUGUGGAUAAACUUUAAACCAAGAACCUGGUCAUACUUUCACAUUUCAGAAUAGGCCUAGGCAUACUCAAUUCAUUUCAGAAUAGGCCUAGGCAUACUCAAUUCAUUUCAGAAUAGGCCUAGGUAUACUCAAUUCAUUUCAGAAUAGGCCUAGGCAUACUCAAUUCAUUUCAGAAUAGGCCUAGGCAUACUCAAUUCAUUUCAGAAUAGGCCUAGUGUAACGGGACCUUGAAGUAGUGUUUCCCCUUGCUCUGCAAGGGCCGCGGCUUUUGUGGAGCGAUGGGUAACGACGCUUCGUAGGUGACUGUUGUUGAUGUGUG